RNAcentral lists this ribosomal RNA (253 nucleotides) under uncultured bacterium. RNAcentral describes it as "partial 16S ribosomal RNA". It matches the Rfam family "Bacterial small subunit ribosomal RNA", at positions 524 to 776 of the family's 1533-position model. The record is from RNAcentral.
UACGGGGGGGGCAAGCGUUGUUCGGAAUUACUGGGCGUAAAGGGCGCGUAGGCGGCCUACUAAGUCGGACGUGAAAUCCCUCGGCUCAACCGAGGAACUGCGUCCGAUACUGGCAGGCUGGAAUCCGGGAGAGGGAUGUGGAAUUCCAGGUGUAGCGGUGAAAUGCGUAGAUAUCUGGAGGAACACCGGUGGCGAAGGCGGCAUCCUGGACCGGUAUUGACGCUGAGGCGCGAAAGCUAGGGGAGCAAACAGG